UAUGUAUUUUGCAUAUUCACCUGUGUGUUAUGUGAAAGAGCAUUGGAAUUAUGUAACGUAUGCAUGAAGAUAUAUAUUGGAAGAAAAGUUUGUAUGCAUAGGUUACUGAUGGAAUAGAAGUGACAUGCUGAGAAAUUAUUAGGAAAUGCAAGGAAAUUUAUGUCCUGAACUGUGUCACAAAAGUGCUCUACUCACUUCCUGCAAAUGAAGAAUAUGUUCACUUAGGGCAAUUAAGUAUGGAGUUAAUUUUUUACAACUAUUUUAACUGUAUGGGCUGUGUUAUUAUAUUUGAACAAACUUAUUUUGAAGGGAAUCCCAAGGGAACAUCUAGGUAUCCCACUGCCUGCAGGCAAAGCCAGAUAUACCUUGUCACUGCUGGCAGAUGUCGACCCAAAUCUACUACUAGAAUCACCAUCGGUGGAGUCUGUUGGUGAUAGAAACUUCACACUGAUCCGUGUUAGUGGGUUCUAGUUUUACUAGACUAAUUUUAGAAGAGGUUUCCAAUACCUGAAACAAGGUGGUCUUGCUUGUUAAAAUUUAAGCUUUUAACUUACAGUGAAUACUGUUCACCAAAAGCAUGAAGAACAAAUGACUCUUUUCCUCUGAUCAGCAGCAGUCUUUCCCAUACUGGAAACUAUUCACUCUGUAACCACUCUGUAUUUCAUCCUGGUGAUACGUUUAUGACCAUAUUUUUACCCUGUUCUUUUAAUCUUAUAUAUGAUUUUGGUUUCUCUGAUCACUUUAUUAUCCACUGAAUUGGGCUAGGAGGUUUUUCCAUUGUCAAUGUCUAGAACACCAUGGAGUAGAGCAGAGGAUUUACUUCAUAAACAUAAAUUAUUUUGACUUGAUAGGAUUUGCAUCUUCUUCAGUAUCUUCCACACAUUUAGACAUAGUGUGCUGAAUUACCUGUCCCUGCAUUUUCUAGAAACUGAGGGUAGAAUGACAAGAACUUAAUUUUCUGACCCUUUUUCACCCACUUUUUGAAGGUCCCUUUUUUAAAUAAGCCCUUUAAUUUCCUUUGUUUUUUUUAAAGUCACCUGGUAACUGCUUGUCCUCUACAGUUUCUCAAAAGCAAUGACUAAGAAUUCUGAGACCCUUUCAAACAAUUCUGUGAACAUUCAGAGAGAAUUCAUGAGAUGAUUAUAACAAUAUCAUUUUUACAAAAAUUAUAAAAUAGAUUAAUUACAGACAAAGUCUUAUCUAAGCCCUUUUUUUUCUUGUAAAUUUUGUGAUGGUUGAGUUAACCGACUAUAUGCCAUUAAUGAUUGGUGCAUAGGUUUUAAAUUACUUUUUCUUACCUUUCUCUCCUUACUGCAUUCUUCCUCCACAAUGGGACUCAUCCCUUCCUUUCAUCUUCUUUAUAAUAAUACUAAGUUUGCAAUUAUUUUUUAUUAACCUUGAUGUCUUUUGCUAGCUGCAUCUCAACUUCUCCUUGACUUUUGCUACUUGUGUCUUGGACUGCUUUGAAGUAUUCAUCUUUCAUUCUUCUUUGACUUUGAUCUUCUACUUCAGGCCACUGCAGACUUCAAGAUUUAAUCUAUUUGUCUUCUAUGGCUUUCCCUAUUCUUCUGCUAUUACUGCAAUUUAAUCCUCAAUAUUUUUUUCUGUAGGGUAAAUGCUCCAAGGUGCUCAUAUUUCUCAUUCUUCAUGAAUUUUAUUAGACUGCUAAACACCUGUAGAUCUCUGCUAACAUAAGUACUGUAAAAGGCACAAACCACAAAGAUCCAGAGAGCAUGGCAGCUGAGAUGGUCAGCAUUAAGGACACAUCCAUCUGUUUAUACAGACAGCUUACGUACACUUCAGAAUAAGGCAUUGUUAUGUGGACCUGUCCAAGACCAGAGGCAGAAGACCAUCUCAAGACAGAUCACCAGAAGCUUUUAAGAAAUGUCUCUGCAACACAGUUUGAAAAAAACAUUAAUUAUUCUAAUCAUUGCGGUUGAUUAAACAGAAGUGGAAAACUGAUGUGGAACAAGAACACCACAACAACAAACACUACUGCUCUAGAGUAGAGCUGGCCUUCCAGAUUACCAGGACUGAUGAAGCUAUUAGGAGUAGAUUGGUACUAACUUAUAGAUUAUUGCCGCUUCCAGCCUGAUCUCUCUGUAUUGACCUGGACCUUUUGAAUCAGCAGCAAUGUUUCACGACUGGCAGCUUGUCUUAAUCAAGACAUCUAGGAACUAAAUAUUUUUCCAUAUGAUCAUUCUUGUAACUAUUUUGAUUUUUUU
Molecule: non-coding RNA, 2225 nt
Organism: Cyanistes caeruleus (blue tit)
Lineage: Eukaryota; Metazoa; Chordata; Aves; Passeriformes; Paridae
Source: RefSeq, a predicted model, not a curated record